CCUACGGGUGGCAGCAGUGAGGAAUAUUGGUCAAUGGACGUGAGUCUGAACCAGCCAAGUAGCGUGAAGGAUGACUGCCCUAUGGGUUGUAAACUUCUUUUAUAAAGGAAUAAAACGAGGCACGUGUGCCUUUUUGGAUGUACCUUAUGAAUAAGGAUCGGCUAACUCCGUGCCAGCAGCCGCGGUAAUACGGAGGAUUCGGGCGUUAUCCGGAUUUAUUGGGUUUAAAGGGUGCGUAGGUGGGUUGUUAAGUCAGUUGGUAAAGUCCGCGGCUCAACCCUAGCAUUGCAAUUGAAACUGGCAGUCUGGAGUACAGGUGAGGUAGGCGGAAUGCGUGGUGUAGCGGUGAAAUGCUUAGAUAGCACGAAGAACCCCGAUUGCGAAGGCAGCUUACU
This 395-nucleotide ribosomal RNA is filed under the name uncultured bacterium. Its description in RNAcentral is "partial 16S ribosomal RNA". It matches the Rfam family "Bacterial small subunit ribosomal RNA", at positions 338 to 730 of the family's 1533-position model. The record is from RNAcentral.